Molecule: ribosomal RNA, 3030 nt
Filed under: Triticum aestivum (bread wheat)
Lineage: Eukaryota; Viridiplantae; Streptophyta; Magnoliopsida; Poales; Poaceae
Description: partial small subunit ribosomal RNA
Source: RNAcentral
AUGGAGUUUGCCACGGGGGCGUUGGGCACCCUACUCCCCAAGCUGGGGGAGCUGCUUCUUGAUGAGUACAACCUGCAGAAGGGAUUGAAGAAACGGAUCAAGGACCUGAUGGAUGAGCUGCUGGUCAUACAAGCUGCACUACUGAAGGUGUCCGAUGUGCCACUAGACCAGCUUGAUCCGCUGGUCAAAAUUUGGGCAAACGAUGUCAGGGAGUUGUCCUUUGCUAUCGAGGACAGCCUCGACUCCUUCAUGGUGCGUGUCGAGGGUCUUGAGCCGACAAAGCCACACACCUUCUUCGGGUUCAUCAAGAAGGCCUGCAAGAAGGUCACCAAGCUCAAGAUUCGUCGCGAAAUAGCCAAUGACAUCAAAGACGUCAAGAUCCAAGUUAAAGAGGUGAAGGAGCGGUUCGACAGAUACAAAGAUGUUAUCAGUGAUGCUAGUGUUGCAACAAAGGUUGAUCCCCGCCUCUUAACUCUGUACAACAAAGUAUCUAACCUUGUCGGCAUCGACGAGGCUGUCGAUGAGCUAACAAAGAGGUUGUACAAGAGCGAUGAUGUGGCCCAGCAAAACCUCAAGACUAUUUCUGUCGUUGGAUUUGGAGGACUGGGCAAGACAACUCUUGUUAAGGCAACAUAUGACAAUCUUAAGAAGGAAUUUGAUUGUGGGGGUUUUGUUAUAGUGGGUCGGAAUCCUGACAUGAAGAAAGUCCUUAGGGACAUCCUCCAUGAACUUGACAAGCAAAAGAACAUCACUGAAUCAAAGAUGGAUGAAAGACAACUCAUCGACCAGCUGCAAGAAUUCCUCGCAAACAAGAGGUACCUAAUUGUUAUUGAUGACAUUUGGGAUGUAUCAACAUGGGAAAUAAUUAAAUGUGCUCUGGUGGAUAGUAACUCCGGAAGUAGAGUAAUCACAACUACUCGUAUUCAUGAAGUUGCCAAAAAAGUUGGUGGUGUUUACAACAUAAAACCACUUUCUGAUGAUAACUCCAAAAAGCUAUUCCAUAGCAGAAUAUUUGGUGAUGAAGGCACAAGUCUUGAUGAUCACUCAGAUGAAAUUUCCGAUAAUUUCUUCAGAAAAUGUGGUGGUGUGCCAUUGGCCAUCAUUACGUUAGCUAGCUUGCUUGUUAGUAAGCCAAGGGAUGUCUGGUGUAAGGUGUUUGACUCAAUUGGUUUUGGUCAGGAAGACAAUGAAGCUAUUCAGAACACAAGACAAAUAUUGUCUUUUAGCUAUUAUGAUCUACCUUACCAUCUGAAGACUUGUUUGUUGCACUUAAGUGGAUAUCCAGAAGAUUUUUUUAUUCACAAAAAUAGGGUGAUAUGGAAGUGGGUAGCGGAAGGCUUUAUACCUAUGGAUCAAAAGAUCAGUGCAUUUGAGCUGGGACAGAGUUACUAUAAUGAUCUUAUAAAUAGGAGUAUGAUCCAGUCAGUAGAACCGGACAUUAUGGCCACGAUAGAUGGCUGUCGUGUUCAUGACAUUGUGCUUGAUCUCAUCCGCACCUUGUCAAGCGAAUUAAACUUUGUUACAACACAAGAUAAUGUGCAACUCAACCGAUGUUCGACCAGCACGAGUAGCAGUGCUCGUAGGUUAGCCAUCCAUAGUGGAUCCGUUGAGCAUAUGGAUAUGGGGCAUGUGAGGUCAUUUAAUGCUAUCAGUUUUGUUGAUCCUGUUCUGCCUCCACUUAUGAGUUUUAAAGUAUUACGGGUACUGGUGCUAGAGAAUUGUGAUUUUUCUGUAGGAGGUUGUCACCUUGAACAGCUGGGGAAGUUGGUUCAGCUGAGGUACCUAGGGCUGAUGGGAACACCUGUUACCGAGCUCCCACGUGACUUAGGGUAUCAACUCAAGUUCUUGCAGACACUGAAUAUGGAGGACACUGGCAUAAAAGAAUUACCGUCCUCUGUUGAUGAGCUAAGCAAGCUGAUGUGUCUGUGUGCUUCUAAAGGCACAAUUAUGAUGGGCAGGAUAGGGAAACUUACGUCCCUAGAAGAGCUGACGCUAUUCCAUGCGGACAAAUCUCUAGACUUCACAACCGGGCUGGGAGAGCUGACGCAAUUGAGGGUGCUCGGAAUCCGUUUCGACGAGAUGGAAGAGAGCACGUACAUGGCUCUGGUCAAGUCUAUCUACAACCUGCAGCGACUCCAGAGUCUCGAGAUAAGCAAUGAUGGAGUGGAUUUUGAAGUUUAUGGCUGGGAAGAGUGGGCUCCCCCUUCAGAGCUCCGUCUGUUCGCACUGCGUGGCAUGGAAAUACCCAGGCGUCCAUCUUGGAUGAAUUCCUCUUGUGUUCGGCACCUCUCCUACCUAUGGAUUGAAGUGCAAGAGUUGGAAGCACUGGACCUGCAAAUCAUAGGAAGGAUGUCUUCACUCCGCUUCCUCUAUCUAUCAAAUUCAGUGGUAGACUGGCUAUCAUAUACUGUUAGUAGCCAUGAGUUCCAGAACCUGACAUAUCUCAGGACAGACCUAGAGAUUGUGUGUGGAGAGGGAGCAUUGCCAAUGGUUGAGGACUUGAGAUGCUUUACUAGAGCGGGAAAUGACGUUGGCUUGGCUGGAAAUAUGCCUUUUCUCAAGGAAGCCUGCUACGACCUUAACUGUUGUGAUAGCAGUGGUAAGGAGGUGGAUGGAGCAGAGGCAGCGCUGAGGCAAGCCGCAGAAACCCAUCCCAACCGUCCCAAACUGAAGAUAUGCAGAUUCCUUGAAGAGUAUAUGUGUGAUGAUUCAGACGACGAGAAUGACAGCGGAUCCGAGGGAGUAUCCUCUGCAGAUGAAAAGGUAUAUGUAUGUACACUACAGCAUAUACUAAUAUCCCAUCUUAUCACUCACAUCCAAGACAUGUCACUUCCAGCAUAUUUUCCUCUAACUUAUCCUUGCCUGCUUUUUCCUAAUUAUAGUCUGACGAGGAUGAAGAUGGCGAAUCCAAGCAGGAACUUUCGGGUACCGACCAAGAGGUAUACAUACAGCUGGCAACUCACAUUAACUACUUGUCUACUACCUCUGCAUGGUUACAUACAUGUACUAUGCACCUCUCUCCGUACAUAG